UACGAAGGGGGCUAGCGUUGUUCGGAAUUACUGGGCGUAAAGCGCACGUAGGCGGAUAUUUAAGUCAGGGGUGAAAUCCCGGGGCUCAACCCCGGAACUGCCUUUGAUACUGGGUAUCUUGAGUAUGGUAGAGGUGAGUGGAAUUCCGAGUGUAGAGGUGAAAUUCGUAGAUAUUCGGAGGAACACCAGUGGCGAAGGCGGCUCACUGGACCAUUACUGACGCUGAGGUGCGAAAGCGUGGGGAGCAAACAGG
Molecule: ribosomal RNA, 253 nt
Filed under: uncultured bacterium
Lineage: Bacteria
Description: partial 16S ribosomal RNA
Rfam family: Bacterial small subunit ribosomal RNA
Source: RNAcentral